Molecule: long non-coding RNA, 11961 nt
Organism: Meriones unguiculatus (Mongolian gerbil)
Lineage: Eukaryota; Metazoa; Chordata; Mammalia; Rodentia; Muridae
Exons: 2
Source: RefSeq, a predicted model, not a curated record
GGGAUCCCUAGCCUUGAGGAAGGCGACGAGCAGCUCGGCGGCCGCCGCCGCCGCCAUUUUGGGCUGGGAGGAGGCAGCGGAGGGACUCGCUGCGCAAGGAGAGGCCCCCAGGACGGCUUCCGCUCUGCUGUGCCUCCAGCGGGAUGCGGAUCAGGAGGCCGAGCUCCGUCGAGGCCUCUCCGCACCCCCAUUCAUCCGGGGUAUGGCGGCAGGGCCCGGCGGAGCCGGACCCCCCAUCUGCAGGACGAGGUGGGCGCGAUGCCAGUCGGAGAGACCCUGGCCUGCGGGGACGGGCCGAGGUUGCAGCUCUGGCCGCAUGCCCUCCGCGGUGCUAGGCAAGCUGGCGGCUCCAGGGGCGCCCAGCCAGAUGGCACCCACCUCUCCCCACCCCCGUUCACCAAGUCCAUCCCACCCCUCAGGGCCGCGAAAGGCAACCACCUCUAACUUCUAUAGCAACCACCAACUCCCCUGAGACCAGCUAGAUCCGGGCACGUGGAGAACUCCAGCUCAGUACUCGGAGAUUUCUCCCUUCGAGCCCCCACUCUCCCGGUGGCCUGGCCUCGAGCUUCACCGUCCACUUUUGGAAACUCCUAAAGUGCGCUUGUCCCACUUGAGAUUUUUUACGCCAAAGGGAUGGGGUUCUGCCCUUUCGCAGGGUUGGAACAAAAUAACUCAGAGUGACCACGGGUCCAGUAAUAGAAAUGGAGUGGCCCAUUUCGGAUACUUCAAAAACAUGUUUGCGUUUUGAAAUCUGAGCCAUAACUUUUGGGCAAAAUGACGGUGCUACAGGGGAAAAGUGAACUUGAAUUCCAGUGUGGCCUAUGGAAGCCUACACGAUGACCCGCUUAAAGUCUUGUUUCACAAACUAGAGAGUAUAUUCUGUGCCACCUAUCACAUCAUUGCUGUAGCCAUCUUUCCUUUAGAUGUAGAAGGUUCUUAGGUAGAAAUGGCAGUUUCAUGUAUGUGUAAUAUAGGAUGUAGGGGAGACCUUUGAAAGAAUAAACUUACAACUUAAAUUAUAGCACUGCCAGCUUUUAAAAGGCUGGAGUUUGAUGUGAUAGUCUCUUACUGAACUGCAGAUUAGACAUCUCGUUUCUUAGAGAUUUCCAGGCUGCAUCUUUAAAUAAUAGCUUUGUUGUUCAGCUGUCAGUUAAGAUUGUGUCCAGGUAGGCUCUGAGGUAGGUGGUUAACUAGCCGUUGGUAUCUGUGGGUGCCUUGUAAUGAAUUUCACUGCCAGUUACAGAUGGUCUAACUCCUAGGCCUUUGCUUUAACAGUAGAAUCCAUGAAAGUUUUUUUCAGAGUGAAAGGACUGCCUCUAGUAUGAAUAAUAAAGUUUUUUUGGCUGGGUGUGGUGGAUCUCAUGAAUUCGAAGUCAGCCUGCACUACAUAGAGAGUUCCAGGCCAGCCAGGGCUACCUUAAUGAAACUCAUCUCAAAGCAGUCUAAUGUGAAGACUUCAGACUUCAUAGUUGUAGCUGAUCUCUCCUUCCAUCCCUCAAAAGCGCAAAAAAAAAAAAAAAAAAAAAAAAAGUUCUGUACAAAUAAAACCCUUUAUUUUAUUUUUUGGAGAUGUCUGACUCUAGCCCAGGCUAGACUCAAACUCAGGGUAAUCCUGCUGCCUCAGACAUAUGAGUAUUGAAAUUACUGGUGUGAGCUUGUUUUCUCACUCGUUCCUUUGAGACAGGGUUUCAGGUAGUCCAGACAGACCCUGAACUUGUGUAGUUUAAGCUGGCUUCGAAUUUACUUCCUCCACCUCCCAAAUCCUUGGAUCAUAUAGGCUUGCACCACCACACCCAGUGUCAUUCAUUCACUUUCUUUGUAUGCACACUUGUGCAGGUCAGAAUUCCUAAGAGUCCUGUUCUCCUACCACCUGUGUUCCCAGGGCUGGAACUCCCGUUGUCAUUCUUGGCAGCAAGUAACUUAAUGAGCCAUCUAGCUGUUUUCUUAAUGGCUGUUUGGGUUUUUAUUAUUGUUGUUGUUUGUGUGCUCUUUUGAGACAGACUGUCACUAUUUAGCCCCUGGCCAGGAGCCAUCUGCUUGAGCCUUUCAAGUGUUCUCAGUUGUAUACCACUGCCUUCAGUCCUGGCCAAGUUGACCUUUGAACUCAUGAUCAACCUGCUGAAAUUACAAGAAUGUACUGUCAUACAUAAUUUAUGUGGUAUUGAGGAUUGAAUUUAGGGCUUUGUGCAUUCUAGGCAAUUAUGCUACCAACUGAACUACAUCUAGUCCCCAGUAGAAUUCUUAAUCCAAAAUUCUUAAUCCAAAACUUUGUUUUUUUUUUUUUUUUUUUUGAGGCAUGGCCUUGCUCUGUAGUUCAGGAUGGCCUAGAACUCAUUUCCUAUACUUCAGUGGUCUUAAGUUUCAUUCAUGGUAGCCCACUUGUCUUAGUUUAGGGUUAUAAAUAUUAGUCAAAACAAAAAGAAAAAGCAGGGCAUGGUGGUGCAUGCCUGUGAUCCCAGCACUUGGGGAGGCAGAGGCAGGCGGAUCCCUGAGUUCGAGGCCAGCCUGGUCUAUAAAUCGAGUACAGGACAGCCAGGGCUACACAGAGAAACCCUGUCUCAAAAAACCAAAAAAGAAAAAAAUGGGGACUGUAGUUCAGUGCACUUGCUUAGCAUGCACAGGAAUGGAGAGCGGGAGUUGGAUGGAGAGCGGGAGUGGGGGACAUGUUAGGAAAGGCUGACACUACCUUGGUAGGAGUCAAAUUAAAGAGUCAGAGCUGAUAGGGCUUAUUUUUGUGGUUCUUCUGUCAAGAAUUUAUUAGAGGAGGAUCCUAGACUCUUGUGAUUCAUCCUCUAUUGUGAAGCAAUCUAGUUAAAACUUGGGAGGCUACUGAAUAGCAAUACUAUGGCAGGAGCAGAAAUUUGUUACUCACUUAUAGAUGAAGGCUUAACCAUACUUAAGAGUGAUGACACAUGAGCUUUUCCAUUCCUUGAUUUUAAAGAGUUGGGGGUAGCUGGAUGCAAUCAUUUUACUCAGGAAGCUGAGGCAGGUAGAUUGUCAUAUUGGACACCAGUCUGAGCCACAGUGAGACCCUGUCUCAAAAGUAGACUGUAGGAGGGAGAGACAGCUCAGUCUUGUGUUUAAGCAUGAAGACCUGAGCUCAGUCUCUAGAACCCAAGUUUAAAAUGUGGAUGGGGGCUGGAGCAAUUCUCUUUCAAUGGACCUGGGUUCAGUUCCCAGCACCACCAUGGUAGAACAUGACUAACGCCAGUUCCAGGACCCUUUUCUGACCUCCAUGGGUAUCAGAAAUGUAUGUGGUACACAUACAUUGACAAAGGCAAACACUCAUACACAAAAGUGUCAGGUGCUGGGUGUGGUGGAGCAGAGGCAGGCAGAUCUCUUGAAUUAAAGGCUCAUCUGCUCUAUAAAGCAAGUUCUGGGACAGCCAGGGCUACACAGAGCAACCCUGUUGAGGGCAGGGAUUGUUAGGAAGGCAGAGACUGGCCUUGCUGGCGGGAAGCUGAUUGUACUGUUUAGUUACAGGCCAGUAGGAGCUUGUCUCAAAUAAGAAUAUGUCUAUGGGAGAAGGCGUAUGAAAGAUUGCCCUCUGGCCUCCAUAUACUUGUAUAUGCACAUCACACACACACACACACACACACAUCUGCAUAGACAUACACAAGGCGAGGAGACACAGUGGCUCAUGAGAAUCCUAAAUGCCUCAAGUUCCUAAUUUCAAAUGGCAAAACCCUGCUUUCCUCACAGGUGCCUCACGAGUGACCACUCAUCUGUACCUGUGGACAUCUCGUUCUACUUCAGAAAAAGCUUCUUUAGAAGCUAGGAGGAGUCUGGGGAUGCGGUUCAGAUGGCGGAGUGCUUGCCUAGCACACCUGAGCUUCUGUCUUUCCCCUCCCCACCAAUUAGCUUAUUAGGGCUUAUGUAAGACCCACCUCACCAAUAAUAGAUGGCUGGGAUGUACACAAAAGAGAAGCCAUCUAAGGAAACUGAGAAUCAGUGUCUCAUGGCACCAAAGCGGAUGUUAUUAUAAAGUCCUUGAUAGUUUAUAUUUAUGUAACAGCCAGUUCCUGGAGACCAGUCACUGUAAGUCGUGCUGGGCAGAGGUGGAAAUGCUCCAGAUUUCCAAGCCACUCCUUGGUACUGUGAACGUACUUGCUUCUGAAAUGUUUGUGCUUUUGUGUGUAGCUCCCACAGUACACCCAUCCAUCCAUGCAUCCAUCUUCCUCCACACCUUUUUUUUCAGCAAAGGGGACUCUGCAUAUCUCUGGCUGUCCUGGAAUUCACUGUGUAGGCCAGACUGACCAUGGCUCAAUAUGUAGCCAAAGGCUGGGCUUGAUGUCUCAAUUCUUGCCUUAGUUUCCCGAGUGCUAGAGUUACCACCAUGAGUUUUUUCCCCUUUUCGGGUUGUUUUAAUGUUAUUAGGCUAAGUGGAUGUUUAUUAAGAACUGAAGAUGUUCCUUCCUGUCCCGAAUUUGAUUCUUUGCUUUUGCCUGAAAGUUGCAUAGACAUUAAUGGGUAUGCAGAAUCAUAUGUCUACAGCAGCUCCCAGGGGCUGGAUAAAUGCCUGAGUGGUGAAGAGUGCAAAUGCUCUUUUAGGGGCCUGAGUUCAAUUCCCGGCACCCACAUCAAGAGGCUCACAACUGCUUGGUACUCCAACUCCAGAGAAGCCACCACCUGGCCUCUAAGAGCACUUGUACUCAUGUUCACACACCCCUGCAGACAGACGCACACACACACAUGAUUAAAAAUAAAUCUUAAAGGAGUCCUCGCAAUUCUAUUAAUUUCCUCCUGUAGCCUUCUGGAGGUUAGAGCAAAUUUUAUUCAUUAGCUUACGGAGAGAUGUUGAUUAUUUCCUCCCAUAUUAUUAUAUAUAAAGUACUCCGAAAUUCUUAUAUUUAGCUUCAUUAUAGGAGAGUUUUAUAGUAGAGUUUUUAGUUUGGUUAGUUUGGUUUUGGCUUUUAAAAAAAUACUAUGUAUGCAAUGUUCUGUCUGCAUGUACACCUGCACACCAGAAGAGGGCACCAGACAUCUUUGUAGGUGGUUGUGAGCCACCCUGUUGCUGGGAAUCAAACUCAGGACCUCUGGAGGAACAGCUAGUGUGCUUAACCUCUGAUCCAUCUUUCCCUGGCUUUUUUCUUUCUUUCUUUUUUAAAGACAGUUUCACUGUGUGCUUUGGCUGUCUUGGGAGUUACUCUGUAGACCAGGCUGGCCUCAGACUCACAGAGCUCCACCUGCCUCUACUUCCUCAGUGCUGGUUUAAAGGCAUGCACCACCACACCUAAGCAGAUGCCUGUUGGUGGUUUUCGAGACAGGGUUUCUCUGUGUAGCCUCGGCUGCCUUGGACUCAGGGAGAUCAACCUGCCUGUACUUACCUGAGUGAUGCCCAGCUCCAAAGUAGACCAGUUGCCUUUUUUUUUUUUUUUUUAAGACAGGGUCUCACUAGCUGGCAUGGAGCUCGCAGAUACUUGUCAGCCACUUCCAAGUGGCUGGCAUUCAGGAGUGUAGUUGUUUGUUCACUGCAGACCAGUAACAGUUUAUAUGUGCUGGAGAGAUGACUUAGUGCUCAAGAACACUUUCUGCUCUUGCAGAGGACCCAGGUUCAGUUUCUAGCACCACACAGUAGCUCAGUUCCAGGUGAUCCGUCACAUUGUUGAAAACACUGUUGAAGGGGGGUGUGGUAGAUCAUAGUUCUAAUCCCUACCCUUGGAAGGCUGAAACAGGAGGCUGGCCGAGAGUUCAGUGACAGCCUGAGCCACACGUCACGUGGUAGGCUAGCUUAUGUCACAGUAAGGUGCUCUCCGUCUCUGUGUCUCUGUCUCUCUCGUUGUUGUUUUGAAAAAUGGUAUCUCUGUGUAGCCCUGGUUGUCCUGGAACUUGCUAUGCAGAUCAGAAUGCCCUCAAACUCAUAGAGAUGGACCUCCCUCUGUCGUCCGAGUACUGGGACUGAUGGCUGGCACCAUCUUGUUCAGUACAGUGGGUAUUUUUAGACUUAUUAUUAGCUUUUUGUAGCAGCUCAGCUUUUUGAGUUUUGUUGGUGUGUUAAAGUUUGUUAUAGAACGAUAGUUAUUGUCAUUAGAUAAAUUUUCAUAACUGAAUCUCCUCUUUAUAAGUAAAACUCAAAAAACAAGUUUACUUAAGUAGUUUUGUUUUUCUGAGACAGAGUCUAGUGCAGACCAGGCUGGCCUCAGGUCCAGUAGGUAAUUGAGAAUGACCUUGAACUCCUGAGCUUCUUGCCCCCAUUUACAGUUCCAAGCACUGAAAUGAAAGGUAUACAGUACCAUGCCCCAUUUAUAGGUUGGCAGGAGAUGCUAGGGAUUAACUCCAAGGUUUCUUGUGUAUUUUGUAUAAUGAACUAAAUCUCCAACUUUUGGAAAGAUUUGUGAGAAUUAAAUUACAUGGUGGUGCACGCCUUUGAUCCCAGCACUCAGGAGGCAGAGGACAACCUAUAGAGUGAAUCUAUAGAGUGAGUCCCAGAACAGCCAAAGCUACACAGAGAAACCCUGUCUCAAAAAACAAAACAAAACAAACAAACAAAAAUUAGUAAUCUAAAACUCGGCCUUUGUUUCUUGAAGAAGAACCCACAUGGUACUGGGUGUAGUGUUACACUCCUUUGUCCCAGCGCUGGGGAUUUGAGUUUAAGGCUAGCCUGGUCUACAUAGUGAGUUCCACGAUAGCCAGGGCUACAUGGUGAGAUCCUGUCACAAAACAAAAAACCUAGAACCCCGAUGGUAACCACUCUGUAUUCUGAGAUGUCUUGACCAAUGACUCAAUUUUUGUUUCCCAGGUCAUUUAUUUUCUUAAUUACUUUACUGGGCAAGGCCUGGUAGACCAUGCCUGUCAUCCUAGUGUUUGGGAGGAGACAGGAGGAUCAGGAAUUGAAGGCCAGCUUUAGCUACAGAGUGAGUUCUGAGCUACAUGAAACCUUUGCCUUAAAAUAAAGUUUAAAAUUGCUUUUCUGAGCCAAGUGUUGUGUGGUGCGUGCCAGGCUACUGGGGAAGCUAAGGUAGGAGAUUGCUGGAGCCUAGAAAUUGAGACCAACCUGGGCAAUGUAGUGAGACCUGGUCACAAUAGAAAAAAUAAAUAGCUGUUUGUGCUGGUAGAUGCCUGUAAUCCCAGCACUCUGCAGACAAAUGGGUGAAUCACUGCAAGUUCAAGCACAGUUCUGUAUAGUGAUUGUCCAGGCCAGCAAGGGCUCUAUAUUAAGACCCUGUCUCAAAACAAACAAAAACAAAUCGGUAGGAUUAAAUUUGAAAGUCUUUUUCAAGUGUGAUGGUACACACCUUUAUCCCAGCAUUCAGGAACCUAAAAAUAGUUGUAAAUUUGAGCUCUAAAGCAAGACUAUCUCAAACAUAAACAAAUAUAAAUAUUGGGGUCCAGUAAGAUGGCUCAGUGGUAGUUACCACCAAGCCCGAUGACCUCAGUUGGAUCGUCAGGACUUAGAAGGUGGAAGGAAGGACCCCUGGUUUCCACAAGUUGUCUUCUGGCCUUCACUUGAAUGGUGUAGUGUGCAUGCACACACAUGUAGGGCCUGGCGUGCUGGCCGAGUGGUUAGUAGAACCUACUACUCUUGCUGAGGACCUGGGUUGGUCCCCAACACCCACACAGCAGCUCACAACCUGUCUGUAGUCAGGACAUCUAGUGCUCGCUUCUGGCCUCUGGACACCAGACGUGCAUGGGACAAACAACAUACACAGGAAAAUAAAGCUUUUAAGAAUAAAAACAUCACGUUACUUUUUAUCUUUUUCACAUAAGCUGUUCACAUUUUGUGUGAGAAUGAAGUGGAGCUUUUAUUCCAAUCAUCUGUGUAAAUAUGCAAAGUUACAAGCGCUAAGUGUGCUUGCUCAGGCCUGUAAUCUCCGCAUGCAGAAGCUGAGGCAGGAUUGUUCAGAGUUUGAGGCUAGCCUGGGCUCCAUAGUAGCACCAGACGAGGUUGGCCUAGAGUGAGACCCAGUCUCACAAUAGUGACAAAAGUCCACAAAACCAUGUGCCCUUUAAUACCUCAGCAUGUUAUUAUAGCCAACUUUGAUCACACUACAUUGUUAUGGAUAUUUGUGGUCCAUCAUCAGGCAUGUAAGUAGAUUAGGGCAGCAUGUGUACAUGCUUACAAUUAUUUAAUGUUCUGUCUUGGGUUUUCUUUUUGUUUUUGUUUGUGUAGCCCUGGCUGUCCUGGAACUCUCUCUGCAGACCAGGCUGGUGUCGCAGAGCUCUUCCUGCCUCUGCCUCUGGAGUAUAGACUGCUGGGUUUAAUGUUUGGCUUCAUAUAGCCGUCCUUUGGUUUAAAUUAUUUAUUUAUUUUCUUAGGUUUUUUUUGGGACAGGGUUUCUCUAUGUAACCUUGGCUGUCCUGGACCAGGCUGGCCUCAAGCUCCCAGAGUGCUGGGAUCACAGGCGUGCAGCACUGUGCCUGGCUCUAAAAUAGUUUUGUCAAGGCAUUAUCGUUAUUAAUUUCAUACAUGCGUUCACAGUGUUAUUUGAUUACUCCCCCCCCCCCCCCAGAUCUUCCCACACCACCUUUGUUGGGUUUUUUGUUUUUGUAGUCCACUUUUUCCAGUUUGUACUUCGAAUGAAUGUAUUCAUGGGUGUAGGGCCAUCCAUGCGGCAUGGUGGACCUGCUAGGGGCUACAUCCUUUUUUGUUUCUCCAUGUAACCCUGGCCCUGGAACUCUCUAUAAACCAGGCUGGUCUGGAACUCACAGAGAUCUGUGUGUCUCUGCCUCCUGAGUGCUGGGAUUGAAGGCGUAUGCCAACAGGGCCGCCAGGCUAGGGGCCACAUCCUUAAACCUCCCUCCCUCCAGAAGCCAUCAGUUGUCAGCUAUGGGAUGGAGAGUUGUGAUCACCCUUCCCCUUUGUGCUGGAAUGUUGACCCUUGGUUUUCUGAAGGUAGACUGUUUGGUGUAGGGUUUUGUUUUUUUUUUGUUUUGUUUUGUUUUUUGUUUCUUUGUUUUGUUUUGUUUUUAGAUUCUAUGGAGUUCUUUUAUUUCUCUGUCUCGUGUGUCCCAGUCAGGGAGCUCAAAAUCAGAGGCCUUGUGCAUGCUAGGAAAGCACUCUUCCACUGAGCUACCUCCCCAGUCUCUAACUUGAAGUCAUUGGGGUAAAGUAUACGUUGAUUUUUGCUCUGAUGCUGCCCACCGAAUAUUGACCCCAGCCUUGUGCAUAGAGUGCUCAAUCUGCCCUAUCACUGACCUACAUCACACACCCAUGGUUUGGGGAGAUAAACUCCUAACAUACACAGUUCAGGCUAGCCUCAAACUCAGAAAACUCUUGUGUUUCCCAAGUCCUGGGACUGUAUAGUACUUUUUUGUUUUUGGACACAGGGAACCCCAGUAAUCUAAGCUGAUCUUCAGUUUGCUGGGUAGCAGAGGACGGCCUUUAAUUCCUGUUUGUCCUGCUUCCACAUCCCAGAUGCUAGGAUUCCAGGUGCUCACCACCACACUCAGGAGAGGUGGCUUACUUUUGUACAGCACUUUUAAGAAGAUUUCUUUGUAUGAGUGUUUUGCCUUUGUGUAUGUAUGUACACCGCAAGCAUGCCUGGUACCAUGGAUGUCAAAAGAAGACAUUAGGUUUCCUGGAACUGAAAUUAUAGAUAGUUGUGAGCCACCAUGUGCUAUUGAGAAUGGGUCUUUUUCAAGAGCGACUAGGACUCUUAACCUCUAAGUAAUCUCUUCAGCCUCCUGUAUGCUACAUUUUACUUCUCACCUGUCUUUCCUUAAUGACACUUUCAUGGACACGUGUUUGUGGCAGAUGCACACACACACACACACACACACACACACACACACACGUGGAAGCCAGAGUACAGCUUAGAUUGCCCAGUGACUGUCCACCUUGUUUAUUUUGUAGAUUCUUUUUGUACAUGUGAGUACGUGUGGAGCAGAGGAAACCUCCUGCCAUUGUUCCUCAGGAGCCAGUUCCCUCUUGUUUUAUUUUUGAGAUGGAGUCUCAUUAGAGCUCUAGCUGUGGCCUGGAAUUCACUAUGUACACAAGAUAGGUCUGGGACUAAAAGAGAUGUGUUUGCGUCUUCCUCCUGAAUGCUGGGAUUACAGGCAUGUGUCACCAUGGCCAGGUACCUUCCCCUUACCUAAGAUGGUGUCUCACUGGGACCUGGGACUUAUCUAUUACACUAAACUGGCUAGUUAGCAAGCCCCAGGGAUCUGUCUGGAUCUGUCUGGAUCCGUCUGCCUCUCCAGUGCUGGAAUUAUGAGAGCAGCCCACCAUAGCUGGCUUUUAAAAACGUGGGCUCAGGGGACAAACUCAGGUGCUCAGGCUAUCAUGGCAGGCACUUUACCAAGUUAGCGCUCUCCGCAGCCCCCUUCCCUUUUACAUUUGGGACAGGGUCUCCUGUAGCCAGGCUGGCCUAACACUUGCCAUGUAGUGGACAGCGACUUUACUCUUCUGAUCCUCCUGUUCUACUUCCUGAAUGGUAGAAUUAUGGGCCUGAGUACAUGCCUGGGUUAUUAAACCCAGGACUCUGUCCAUGAUAGGAAACCGCUGUAACCAACUGAACUACGUUCCCAGACUGCUAGUUAAGAGAACAGUAUUUUUGGAUCUAAAUCAAUUUUGAAUUCCCUGGUUCUGUCCACGAAGACUCUUGAAAUAAAAAAAAAAGAUUCUGCCUCUUAACCAUCUUUUUUGACCAGCCCAAGAAGAGUUCUGCCUGCCUGUCGCAGUCUGAGAGGCAGUUUCCUCAUUCAUAGCCAUGCCCAGUACAAGACAGGGAGCAAACUGAAAUUGCUCACUUGUGAGCCAGGUCUUUUGAGCAGCUGUUAAAAUGUUUGGCAAAGGGCUUGUAUGAAAGGCUGGGGGUGGGGGUUGGAUCAUUUGUCAUCACAACCCUGUUACUACAGGCAACUCAACGUCUUUGCUGUAGUCUCUUUCAAUCUAGAAAGCGUUGAUAGAAGAGCUUUGUGUUAGCUUUUAUCAUUCCAAGAACAUAAAUAGCAAAAUGUUAGUGCCUUUGAGUCAGACAAAUUUGCAUAACCCAAGGUAAAGCAGAAUAAUUUAGAGAUACUUAAAACUAAGUAUUUGGUAUUUUUUAAAACAAGACUUAAUUUGCCUCUGCAGAGUAGAAUGUAUUCCUUUUUCCUAAUAAAAAACGAACUUAAGGUCUUCCCAGGGUGGAUUCUGGAAAUGCUGUUUCUAAUAGGAGGAGAGAGAGAUGUUUCUAGUCAAAUCUUUCCUAGGAAAAUGAUCUGAAAUCAGAGGUUCUCACUGCUGCAUCCUCUUGUGGUGCAGUCAAAAGGAGGCCUGGCUUUACAUGGUAAAGCCAGAGGGCACUGUUGCUGCUUCCCACCAAACAGCCAGUUUUCUAGGGCUGCUGUAUGACGUCAUAGAAUAAAAAUGAAAAACACGAAGAAAUCCAUUUCAAAAUAGACAUUUAAUGCAAUCCUUAGGUCAAAGAAAAAUUAUUUUUACAGUUUCUACAGUGGGCCACUUGCCAGAAUAGGACCAGCACAGUCUGGUUUUGAAGGCCCCAAUUGUGUCCUCCUGGCACAGUUUCCCUUGAAUUAUUGAUUUGUAUAUGCUGCUUAUGCAUCAUAAGGAGCAUUUCAUUCUUGAAGUUUCAAUCACCUCUACUGGUGCCAUUUAGCUGCCAGAACAGGCAGAGAGGCACCCUCCCCAAGGGGUUCUUAACCACCAAGGAAUUGGACAACCUUGAGUCUCUUGAACCCACUUGCACAUACAUGCAUAUGUAUCUACAUACAUAUGUAUGUGUGUUCACACACGUAAUUAUAUGGGGCUUGUUGACCCCCAAGGCCCCUAUUAAGUUUUUAAGGCCCCAAGGAGCCAGUGUGCUAAUAAAUGUGAGCAAUACAAUUGCCCGGGUUACGCACAGCUCAGGUGAAGGAGGGUUGCAUUAGCUAUACUGACAAGUAAGAACAACUGUUUGAUCUACAGUUUUGAUUCUGUGGUACGGAUCAGUUCUGAGCUCCUGGCAUUUUCAAGAACUACCUAGCCUGGGCAGCUGUCCAGGCAACUCAGGAGACUGAGAAUAGCUGCCCUUCUGGGAA